AGCGCACAACGGCUUCCUGACGUGCGCUCCACGCGGACUCAUCGGAGCA
RNAcentral lists this non-coding RNA (49 nucleotides) under Palleronia rufa. Lineage: Bacteria; Pseudomonadati; Pseudomonadota; Alphaproteobacteria; Rhodobacterales; Roseobacteraceae. The record is from RNAcentral.